RNAcentral lists this transfer RNA (84 nucleotides) under Paraphoma chrysanthemicola. It matches the Rfam family "tRNA". Rfam says of the family: Transfer RNA (tRNA) molecules are approximately 80 nucleotides in length. Their secondary structure includes four short double-helical elements and three loops (D, anti-codon, and T loops). The record is from Rfam by way of RNAcentral. Lineage: Eukaryota; Fungi; Ascomycota; Dothideomycetes; Pleosporales; Phaeosphaeriaceae.
CUCCCCAUAGUGUAGUGGUUUAGCACGCCUGACUGUAAUAUCCAAAGCGUUCAGGAGACCCUCGUUCGAUCCGCGGUGGGGAGA